CCCUGAGUAGGAAAGAUUCCCUGGAGGAGGGCAUGGCAACCCACUCCAGUAUUCUUGCCUGGAGAAUCCCAUGGACAGGUGUGGUGAAGGUCUCAGAUAAAGAAGCAAAGUUGGAUUGAAUGGUUAAAAGCCUUUGGCUGGAGUCAGGUAGAACUGGUUUGAAAAUCUUCACUGCUAUCACUCACUGACCUUAAAUGUUUGGACUGUUCAAAGUACGUGACAUGAAUUCACUUCGAUUUUCACAGUGUAUAUGCCUGUGCUGCUAUGAGAUUCUUCGGGGUGCUAUGGAGACUGCCAUCAAUAUUGAGAACCCUGGUCCAGUGGAACCUAAUCUACGGACAUAGGACUCCAGCACAUGGCAGUUGAGAGCAUCUGCAUGAAGUCAUUUGGGCCCAAAUCUGGGCCCAGAACAGCCCAUCUCUCACUAGCAAUUGGACUUUAGGGGGAAAAAAAAAAUCAUAAAAUGUGUUUGAGCCUUGGUUUAGAGACUUCAUCUGUGAAAUGGAGCAGAGCAGUAACUACUAUCACAUGUGAUUUUUAGAUUCUUUUGAACAUUUUUAUAUUACUAAUAUUUUGGGGGGGGGGCUUGAUGUGUGUAUUUGAUCCAGACCCAUCCUCCUUUCUUGCUACCUUUGCCUCUUGGCCCCCAGACUCAUUGUACCUCAGCCCCACUGCCGUUCUUUUUCGUGCCUUAAAUAAACCAAACUCAUUUCCACUUGA
Bubalus bubalis (water buffalo) is the source of this 720-nucleotide long non-coding RNA. RefSeq lists it as uncharacterized. The transcript has 4 exons. NCBI's taxonomy places the organism in Eukaryota, Metazoa, Chordata, Mammalia, Artiodactyla, Bovidae. The record is from RefSeq and is a predicted model, not a curated record.